RNAcentral lists this ribosomal RNA (271 nucleotides) under uncultured prokaryote. Its description in RNAcentral is "partial 16S ribosomal RNA". It matches the Rfam family "Bacterial small subunit ribosomal RNA", at positions 524 to 794 of the family's 1533-position model. The record is from RNAcentral.
UACGGAGGAUGCGAGCGUUAUCCGGAUUUAUUGGGUUUAAAGGGUGCGCAGGCGGGGGAUUAAGUCGGCGGUGAAAUUUUGCAGCUCAACUGUAAAAGUGCCUUCGAAACUGGUUUCCUUGAGUGUAGAUGAAGUAGGCGGAAUUUGUGGUGUAGCGGUGAAAUGCUUAGAUAUCACGAGGAACUCCGAUUGCGCAGGCAGCUUACUAAACCAUAACUGACGCUCAGGCACGAAGGCGUGGGGAUCAAACAGGAUUAGAUACCCUGGUAGU